Molecule: RNA transcript, 1658 nt
Organism: Triticum aestivum (bread wheat)
Lineage: Eukaryota; Viridiplantae; Streptophyta; Magnoliopsida; Poales; Poaceae
Exons: 10
Source: RefSeq, a predicted model, not a curated record
UACUGCCGCGGACGGAUCGCGGAUAGGGGUUGGCGCGCUGCGGCCUCGAGCGGAGGGGCGGCGACGACGCAUCUGAGGAAGUUGCGAUCGGUGGGCACUGGCUCAGAGUGGAGAGAUGCCGCCGGAGAAGGCUGCUGCGGCCUCGAGCGGAGGCGUGCCGACAACGCAUCUCGGGAAGGAGGCGGCGGCGGGCGCUGCCUCGAGUGGAGAGAUUCCGCAGAAGAAGGCUACGCCCUCGAGCGGAGGGUCUGCCGGCUCGGGUGCUCUUCACGGGAACUCUACUUCCCAGUACUCUGAAGAAUCUGCCGCCGGGCACCCUAGCAAGAAGGCGCGCACAGCCUCAAGUCUGAAGAUACCACAGAAGCACCACAAAGCUGAUAUAAGCUUGAGCGGAGGGACGCUGCAGAAGCAGAGCUCAGAGGUGGAGGCUGAUACCAGCUCGAGUGGAGAGGUGCUGCACGAGCAGGAGCAUCCCAAGCACUUUCAGGAAUCUGAUCCCAACGAGAUUGUACAUGCCAAGGAAGAAAAUAAACAUGUGCAAGAAGCCAAUCAUCUGAUCGAACAGCUGAAUGAGUUGGGCGGCAUGGGAGAGGAUAUCAGCGAGGAGGAGUUCCUUGCUUACCAUGACAAGCUACCUCGCAUCCCUUGUUAUAUCGUUGCCCGUAAACUGACAAAUGAGGAGCUCGAUGAGCAAGAUCUUCGCCACGCACUUUGCCGCUUCAGAUAUUACAAAUACAAGUUGAAAGAGGAGGGAAAGGAAGAUACAUUUGACCUUAAGGACGUUUCUGAGGCCGAGUGCGAUCAAGCGUUCUUAAAGAAACAGAGAUUUUUCAGACGAUUCGAGGAAAUUUCCACACUUGAUUGGUAUUUCCACCCUGAUUACUGCAAAGAUCCUUCUCUUAGUGACUACCAACGCCUAGUCCUUCGAAAUUAUGGUAGUAGCGAGUACGCCAGGUGGACUGAGUACCACGAGUUCCUUCAUAGCCAUGACGUUGAAGAAGAGUAUGUCAAGUUCUGUGAGGAAUUGUUCAAGAAGCUAGAGUGGAUGGAAGGUUAUCUAGAUUUUCCCCGGCCAUCUCAUAAGUGGGAUCGCAUAUCUUCCCGAGGAGCUUUACAAGCAAUUAAACUUGCAUCUACUACCUUUCAGAAGAUCACUGCGUCUUUAGCUUACUAUGGCUACUUUGAGUGUAAACAGAGCAUGGCCUAUGACCGUACUUGGUAUAAGGAUUUAGAUGGUGUUCAUUUUGAGAUUUGGUGUCGGGUCACUGAGAAACAGAUGAGUUUCAGAGAUGCUCUAGCGGAGGUGCACUGAAGCGUGACUACACCAUGGAGAGAUUGGAAUCGGAGUACCAUACCUGCACGGCAAAGGUUCCCCCGGGAACUGAAAAGGACAAGGCUAAGGAGUUGAUUGCAAAGGCAGUUAAAAAUCGGCUCAAUAAGCCGAAGACCUAUGCGCAGUAUAUCAGCAAGAAGAUACACAUUGCGCGCGUUGCUGGAAUACUUCCUCUGAAGGAUUCGAAGGAGCAGUGUAGUUAAGGUUCCGAAGAAUGGGAUUAUGAAAUUGGUCCAUCCCUUGCCCUUCUGCCAAAGACCUAUGUUUAUUUUCCUCUCCUCUGAAGGCGUUGUUUCUGAGAUUAUGAAAUUGGACAGUUGGUCAA